Molecule: long non-coding RNA, 599 nt
Organism: Monomorium pharaonis (pharaoh ant)
Lineage: Eukaryota; Metazoa; Arthropoda; Insecta; Hymenoptera; Formicidae
Exons: 2
Source: RefSeq, a predicted model, not a curated record
CAAGUGAUCGGUGUCACUAGCUUCGGUCAAGGUUGCGCAAUGGGAAUUCCUGGCGUUUAUACUAGAGUGUCCCAUUAUCUUCAGUGGAUCGAAGAAAAUGUCUGGCCAGGAGAAGAAUAACUUAUUUGAUUCUUACGAAAGAAAAGUUAACUUGCUCUAAUUAUUGCCUAUUGAGAGAAUUAAAGAUUGCAAAUGACUGAUUGAAUAUAUUACUUCAUUAUCUAUUGUACUGCAGUUGAAUAGUCCGUAAUUUUAACUAGAAUAUUGAAACAUAAAACCGUGAUUCUGAUUAGAAUAUUAAAAAACUCAUAAUAGAAAAUUGGUGAGUAAGUAUGGAUUAUUAUACUAUGCGAGAUUAGUAUUAAUCUUUUAAACUUUAAAAAUCAAGACAUUAUACUAUAUACUAUUGUAAAUAGUUCGCCAUGUAAGCCCAUUGCCAUAAAAGCUAUAAAUUAAUGUAACUAAGAUAUGCCAUCAGUCCUCUUCAACAGCUAGUAAACAUUAUGACGAUGAAUUAUAUAAAUUUUUUGACGAUGAAAAUAGUGAAAAAUGUAUUUCAUAGUAAUAAAUAAAUACGUACAUUACGUUGACCAUACAAA